AGUGGGAGCAGAUGUGCGGAGCCGAUCAGUCACUCCCCCCCGCACUACUUAAUCGGGCUCCACUCUUCUGUCGACGCCGGAUCGUAAAAGCUGCUCGUCAGUACUGACUCAGUUCUUCAUUUUACCGUUACCUUAGUACGCCAAGUAAUUUGCUCUGCCCCUAGUCAGGACUGCCUUCCGGUAGAGAUCACCCGACCCCCCUGGAUGUGGACUCACCCGGUUCAUCUUCUACCUUCACCUCAGCCAUCCUUCGCCCAGCUCCGGCUUAACCCUCACCAGUCGUCUCCGCAGCCGAGGCGAUUCCACAAGCAUCUACUCUGCGCGGUACGGUUCGCCACUAUUGUAUCUGACUCGGCUCGUCUCGGUUUAGUUGUUUUUCCAUAUAGCCUCAUCGUGGGUGGAGUCGUCAUAGCGCAGCGAGCCGAAAGUCGUUAACGUCAUUUGCGUGCGACACAAACGCAACAUAACGGAGACGAUGGUUCACCUGCUGCUCGGUCUGUGGCUUUCUGUCAGAUUCAAAGUAAUAGAAGAGUCGGAGAAAGCUGAGAGUGGCGAGUCGGAACACUCAGGAGACACACAGGAGAGUUUGGGAGGCGAUACAGCAGUAUCAAGUCGAAGACAAGAGGAUAUGAACGAGACGACAUAUGAGGCAGGUUGUUGUGUUUGUCUGCUAUGCAUCAGUGUGAGGACAGAGAGGAGGGAAGAUCUCUGUGUGGGGAACAGGAGAACCAGAGCAAAGCUCAGAG
This is a long non-coding RNA of Amphiprion ocellaris (clown anemonefish), 746 nucleotides long. Lineage: Eukaryota; Metazoa; Chordata; Actinopteri; Pomacentridae. The record is from Ensembl.